This 406-nucleotide ribosomal RNA is filed under the name uncultured bacterium. RNAcentral's name for it is "partial 16S ribosomal RNA". It matches the Rfam family "Bacterial small subunit ribosomal RNA", at positions 30 to 526 of the family's 1533-position model. The record is from RNAcentral.
AUUGAACGCUGGCGGCAGGCCUAACACAUGCACGUCGAGCGAGCGGCGGACGGGUGAGUAAUGUAUGGGGAUCUGCCCGAUUGCGGGGGAUCACUACUGGAAACGGUGGCUACUACCGCAUACUAUCGGAUGUACCCAUAUGGGAUUAGCUAGUAGGUGGUGUAAAGGCUCACCUAGGUCACUAUCGCUAGCUUGUCUGAGAGGAUGAUCAGGCACACUGUGACUGAUAAACGGCCCAGACGCCUACGGGAGGCAGAAGUGGGGAAUAUUGCACAAUGGGCGCAAGCCUGAUGCAGCCAUGCCGCGUGUAUGAAGAAGGCCUUAGGGUUGUAAAGUACUUUCAGCGGGGAGGCGUUACCCGCAGAAGAAGCACCGGCUAACUCCGUGCCAGCAGCCGCGGUAAUUC